CGCCUGUAGCAAUACAGGUGGCGCACGGCGCACGGGUGCGUAACACGUGGGUAAUCUGCCCCCUGAUGGGGAAUAACUCGCCGAAAGGCGAGCUAAUUCCGCAUAACAUUCCGAAGACCUUGGUUUUUGGAUUCAAAGGCGUAAGUCGUCGGAGGAGGAGCCCGCGCACGAUUAGCUAGUUGGUGAGGUAAUGGCUCACCAAGGCUAUGAUCGUUAGCUGGUCUGAGAGGAUGGCCAGCCACACUGGAACUGAGACACGGUCCAGACUCCUACGGGAGGCAGCAGUGGGGAAUCUUGCACAAUGGGCGAAAGCCUGAUGCAGCGACGCCGCGUGGGGGAUGAAGCUUCUCGGA
Molecule: ribosomal RNA, 353 nt
Filed under: uncultured bacterium
Lineage: Bacteria
Description: bacterial SSU rRNA
Rfam family: Bacterial small subunit ribosomal RNA
Source: RNAcentral